RNAcentral lists this ribosomal RNA (462 nucleotides) under uncultured bacterium. RNAcentral describes it as "bacterial SSU rRNA". It matches the Rfam family "Bacterial small subunit ribosomal RNA", at positions 98 to 537 of the family's 1533-position model. The record is from RNAcentral.
GCGUACGGGUGAGUAACACGUGGGUAUCUACCAAAGAGCCUGGAAUAACCGGCCGAAAGGCUGGCUAAUACUGGAUAGAUCAAGCGGGUUGUAAAGAUCCGAUUGGGAAAGGGAGCGGGUAACCGCCUUCACUUUUUGAUGAGCCCGCGUCUGAUUAGCUAGUUGGUGAGGUAACGGCUCACCAAGGCAGAGAUCAGUAGCUGGUCUGAGAGGAUGAUCAGCCACACUGGAACUGAAACACGGUCCAGACUCCUACGGGAGGCAGCAGUGGGGAAUCUUGCGCAAUGGGCGAAAGGCCUGACGCAGCCACGCCGCGUGAGUGAAGAAGGCCUUCGGGUUGUAAAGCUCUGUCGGAAGGGGACAAAAACGUUUACGGUUAAAUAGCCGUAGAUCUUGAUGGUACCCUUAAAGGAAGCACCGGCUAACUUCGUGCCAGCAGCCGCGGUAAUACGAAGGGUGCAA